Quercus lobata is the source of this 700-nucleotide long non-coding RNA. RefSeq lists it as uncharacterized. The transcript has 3 exons. The record is from RefSeq and is a predicted model, not a curated record. NCBI's taxonomy places the organism in Eukaryota, Viridiplantae, Streptophyta, Magnoliopsida, Fagales, Fagaceae.
AACAAAUAGAACAUCCAAGAAGCUCCUUACUUCUCCAUUUCCUACGGGUAAACACCAAGUCUGAAAUUUCAGCUUACUUUACUCUCUUUUUCUCUUAAGGAAAGUGCUAGGAAGCUCCCUUGAGUCUUCCUCUCAAGUCCACCGGUUCACACACCAAAAGAAAGACAAAAACCCACCCAAAAGUCUUCCCCUUAUCCCAUUUUCUUGGCUGCACCAGACAGAAAGUCCAGCAGCAAGAAGGAAGCUUCUUUCAAUUCUCUCAAGCUCUCUACCUCUCAUACCUUCUGGUCCAGCCACUAGGAAAGGAAAAUCCUUUCAUGUGUUACCAGUAUCCAAGUCUAAGCUCCUUCGACUUUAGGCUCUUGGUUCCUUUGCUUUCAGGUAAGGGAUAAGUUAUAUGAGCAUUUGUUAGCAGGAUUUAUUUUGGAACAGAGGGAGCCUUAGUCGAGUUUUGAAAGGAGCUGGUUUAGUUAUAUAUGUAUAGAUCCUAAAUUAGCAAUAUGAUGUUUAGAUUUGUAGCAUUGUUUAUUUUAGGAUCUAAUGAAAGUGUAUACCUUAAAGUAUUAAGAGAUGUAUUAUGUGAAAUUCAGAAUUUGAGUAACUGGUGAAUUAUGUUAUUCUUUUGAGUACAAUGUAGAUACUCUGAAUGUCAAGUGAAAGGUCAUAUAAUCUAAAUAAAGAAACAAGGAUUGAAAAGAAA